GCUGGGAACAGUGGCUCGCACCUGUAAUUCCAGCAGCUUGGGAGGCUGAGGCAGGAGGAUCAUGAGUUCAAACCAGCCUCAGCAACAGCAAGGUGCUAAGCAACUGAGUGAGACCCUGUCUCUA
RNAcentral lists this small RNA (124 nucleotides) under Marmota monax (woodchuck). Lineage: Eukaryota; Metazoa; Chordata; Mammalia; Rodentia; Sciuridae. The record is from RNAcentral.